Beta vulgaris subsp. vulgaris (sugar beet) is the source of this 274-nucleotide long non-coding RNA. RefSeq lists it as uncharacterized. The record is from RefSeq and is a predicted model, not a curated record. The transcript is spliced from 3 exons. NCBI's taxonomy places the organism in Eukaryota, Viridiplantae, Streptophyta, Magnoliopsida, Caryophyllales, Amaranthaceae.
UAGUGUGACGAAGAAGCGUAGUGCAUCUGGACUUCGACAAGGAAAACCUCCUGUUUGGUAUUUAGUCGAGUGUCCGGUACAAGAAGGUGGACUUGCGUGUGGGUAUUACGUCAUGAGGUUCAUGCUCGAUAUCGUCAACUAUUGCAAAGAUGUUGGUGAUCUUCGAAAGGUUUAUGCGAAUUCCACACCACGUUUGAGGAACUUCACCAAAGAAGAAAUUGAUGAAGUUCGGGAUAAGUUGGCGUCCCACAUUACCGAUGAUUGCUUAGGAUGA